Molecule: ribosomal RNA, 497 nt
Filed under: uncultured bacterium
Lineage: Bacteria
Description: partial 16S ribosomal RNA
Rfam family: Bacterial small subunit ribosomal RNA
Source: RNAcentral
GAUGAACGCUGGCGGCGUGCCUAAUACAUGCAAGUCGAGCGAACGGACGAGAAGCUUGCUUCUCUGAUGUUAGCGGCGGACGGGUGAGUAACACGUGGAUAACCUACCUAUAAGACUGGGAUAACUUCGGGAAACCGGCGCUAAUACCGGAUAAUAUUUUGAACCGCUUGGUUCAAAAGUGAAAGACGGUCUUGCUGUCACUUAUAGAUGGAUCCGCGCUGCAUUAGCUAGUUGGUAAGGUAACGGCUUACCAAGGCAACGAUGCAUAGCCGACCUGAGAGGGUGACCGACCACACGGGAACGGAGCCACGGUCCAGACUCCUACGGGAGGCAGCAGUAGGGAAUCUUCCGCAAUGGGCGAAAGCCUGACGGAGCAACGCCGCGUGAGUGAUGAAGGUCUUCGGAUCGUAAAACUCUGUUAUUAGGGAAGAACAUAUGUGUAAGUAACUGUGCACAUCUUGACGGUACCUAAUCAGAAAGCCACGGCUAACUACGUG